GACGUAGGGGGCCAGCGUUGCUCGGAAUUACUGGGCGUAAAGGAUUCGUAGGCGGUGCGGCAAGUCGGAAGUGAAAUCUCCAGGCUUAACUUGGAGGCUGCUCCCGAAACUGCCGUGCUAGAGUGCGGGAGAGGCGAGUGGAAUUGCAGGUGUAGCGGUGAAAUGCGUAGAUAUCUGCAGGAACACCCGUGGCGAAGGCGGCUCGCUGGACCGCAACUGACGCUGAGGAACGAAAGCUAGGGGAGCAAACAGG
RNAcentral lists this ribosomal RNA (253 nucleotides) under uncultured bacterium. RNAcentral's name for it is "partial 16S ribosomal RNA". It matches the Rfam family "Bacterial small subunit ribosomal RNA", at positions 524 to 776 of the family's 1533-position model. The record is from RNAcentral.